This 1266-nucleotide ribosomal RNA is filed under the name Triticum aestivum (bread wheat). RNAcentral's name for it is "partial small subunit ribosomal RNA". Lineage: Eukaryota; Viridiplantae; Streptophyta; Magnoliopsida; Poales; Poaceae. The record is from RNAcentral.
AUGAUGGGCCGCCCGGCGUCCGCGUGCGGCUCCGUCGCCGCCGCGCGGGAGGCCAGCCUCCGCCUCCGCCACCGCGGGCCUCGACUGCGCCGGGACGAGCUUCCUCCCUCGCCCAGAUCUGCCCGGCGCCGCGCCCUCUCCCCCGCCGCGUCCCCCGUCUCCGACCUUCGGGACGCCCUUCUUCACCGCCUCCACCUCCGCCGCGCGGCGCACGCUUCGCCGCCGCCGUCUGUGCCUCGGGGGAUCGGGCCGCUCCCCCCCGCCUGCGCAGCCCCGGAGUUGCUCGACCGGCUUGACUUCCUUGAAGCCCGCCCGCCUCCCUCGUCGCCUCAGUCUCCGCAGCGCGUGGCGCGCUCCCCUACUUCCGCAUCCCCCGCGCAGGAGGCUCUCCGCGCGGCGCGCUCUUCUCCGCCUCGAUGGAUCGAGAACCUCUUCUCCGCCCACCUUGCUUCCGCGGCACCCACCGUGCUGGGGCCCCGCCGCUGCCGUCGCCGUCUCGGCGUCGGCGUUGAGGAAACCUCACGGCGCUGCGCGUUCUCCCCUGCUUCCGCACGCCAAGCUCCAGGCCCCUCGCACAUGGGAUUGGGAGUGGGGCUCCCUCCGCCGCUGCCGUUCACGUUCUCGUGCUCGCCGUUACUCACACAUCGGAUGAAUUCGAUGGCUUUGCUGCCGGCCUCCCUUGCUGUGCUGCCCCCUGAAAAACCAGAUGAAGAAGAAAUUUCAGGGCCAGUUCUAAUCAUCACUAAUCUGGAACUUCCGAGAAGCAUUCUAUUUUCUCCAUACACGAUGAAAGCAUUCACUAGUAGUUUGCCAGUUGGCACCGCAGAUGUGCUAUAUUCAAAUGGAUAUUUUUUUCUGCUCAAAGAAGGCACUUAUGUUUCGCUGUGGGAAGUGAAGUCAGAGAAGCGUUUACUGAACUUCCAUGUGGGGAUGGAAAUUGAACAGGGUUAUUUCAAUGGAACCCCUGGUUCAGAUCUUACUGUAGUGCUCGCUAGGCAAAGGAUAUUUGCUGAAGUAGAUGCUGAUGAUAAUGCAGAUGAAGGUGGUGGAGAAGCAGAUAUCGUCACUGAAUUUUGGCUAAGAAGAAUGGAUGGUGUUUGGCAGCAGAAUGCUGUAGUAUGCGGACAUUUAGGCAUACACAGCCUCAUCAUCCACCAAAAUGCUUUGUUUUGGUUAUCCAACAAUGGAUGUCUCUGCUCGGUGACGCAGGAGGAAGAUGGUCUACUACUCCCUCCGUUCCGAAUUAGUUGUCUUAGAUUUGUCUAG